GACGAACGCUGGCGGCGUGCUUAACACAUGCAAGUCGAACGGAAAGGCCCUGCUUUUGUGGGGUGCUCGAGUGGCGAAGGGGGGAGUAACACGUGAGUAACCUGCCCUUGACUUUGGGAUAACUUCAGGAAACUGGGGCUAAUACCGGAUAGGAGCUCCGGCGGCAGGGGGGGGGUUGGAAAGUUUCGGCGGUUGGGGAUGGACUCGCGGCUUAUCAGCUUGUUGGUGGGGUAGUGGCUUACCAAGGCUUUGACGGGUAGCCGGCCUGAGAGGGUGACCGGCCACAUUGGGACUGAGAUACGGCCCAGACUCCUACGGGAGGCAGCAGUGGGGAAUAUUGCACAAUGGGCGGAAGCCUGAUGCAGCAACGCCGCGUGCGGGAUGACGGCCUUCGGGUUGUAAACCGCUUUCGCCUGUGACGAAGCGUGAGUGACGGUAAUGGGUAAAGAAGCACCGGCUAACUACGUG
RNAcentral lists this ribosomal RNA (468 nucleotides) under uncultured bacterium. RNAcentral describes it as "partial 16S ribosomal RNA". It matches the Rfam family "Bacterial small subunit ribosomal RNA", at positions 28 to 507 of the family's 1533-position model. The record is from RNAcentral.